UGGUUGUACUGAAAUUUUAACUCAUGGCC
This 29-nucleotide non-coding RNA is filed under the name Mus musculus (house mouse). The record is from RNAcentral. Lineage: Eukaryota; Metazoa; Chordata; Mammalia; Rodentia; Muridae.